UUUAGUUGAGUUUAAGAAAUCUGUAUUCCCACAAAUAAAAAAAGAGAAGUGAUAUUGUCUCAAUAUAAUACUGCUCCAGUCAAUGGUUGACUUGAUCUGGGCUAACACACCCAAGUGGGAGGAACUGGACAAAGAGAGACAACACAGCCAGAGCGAGUCCAAACCCACAAGCCCUUGCAGCAGUGACACCGCAGAAACAAGAAGUUGUUCUUUGGGUGACACACCUUGCUGUGCAGGUGACCCUCCUAAACUAGCAAGCAAACUCCUGCUACCUUUCCAGGCAAUCUUUCCUCUACCUCUUAGCUUCUUCACUCUUCACCACAGCAUGAAAAAUACCAAUCUUUCCUCUACCUCUUAGCUUCUUCACUCUUCACCGCAGCAUGAAAAAUACCAAUCUUUCCUCUACCUCUUAGCUUCUUCACUCUUCACCGCAGCAUGAAAAAUACCAAUCUUUCCUCUACCUCUUAGCUUCUUCACUCUUCACC
This 485-nucleotide long non-coding RNA is filed under the name Salmo salar (Atlantic salmon). RNAcentral's name for it is "lncRNA (ENSSSAG00000070772.2)". Lineage: Eukaryota; Metazoa; Chordata; Actinopteri; Salmoniformes; Salmonidae. The record is from RNAcentral.